GCCAACAGCCACAUCACCCUGCAGCUCCCAGCUGGCAGCCCACUGGAGCUCAGCAGGUGUGAGCCUGGUCAGUACCUGGAUGGGAGACCUCCUGGGAGAAACUAAGGUUGCUGCUGGAA
RNAcentral lists this ribosomal RNA (119 nucleotides) under Lepisosteus oculatus (spotted gar). Lineage: Eukaryota; Metazoa; Chordata; Actinopteri; Semionotiformes; Lepisosteidae. The record is from RNAcentral.